AGAGUUUGAUCAUGGCUCAGGAUGAACGCUGGCGGCGUGCUUAACACAUGCAAGUCGAACGCUGAAGCCCCAGCUUGCUGGGGUGGAUGAGUGGCGAACGGGUGAGUAACACGUGAGUAACCUUCCCUUGACUCUGGGAUAAGCCCGGGAAACUGGGUCUAAUACCGGAUACGACCUCCUGCCGCAUGGUGUGGGGGUGGAAAGAUUUAUCGGUUUUGGAUGGACUCGCGGCCUAUCAGCUUGUUGGUGAGGUAAUGGCUCACCAAGGCGACGACGGGUAGCCGGCCUGAGAGGGUGACCGGCCACACUGGGACUGAGACACGGCCCAGACUCCUACGGGAGGCAGCAGUGGGGAAUAUUGCACAAUGGGCGCAAGCCUGAUGCAGCGACGCCGCGUGAGGGAUGACGGCCUUCGGGUUGUAAACCUCUUUCAGUAGGGAAGAAGCGAAAGUGACGGUACCUGCAGAAGAAGCGCCGGCUAACUACGUGCCAGCAGCCGCGGUAAUACGUAGGGCGCGAGCGUUAUCCGGAAUUAUUGGGCGUAAAGAGCUCGUAGGCGGUUUGUCGCGUCUGCCGUGAAAGUCCGGGGCUUAACCUCGGAUCUGCGGUGGGUACGGGCAGACUAGAGUGCAGUAGGGGAGACUGGAAUUCCUGGUGUAGCGGUGAAAUGCGCAGAUAUCAGGAGGAACACCGAUGGCGAAGGCAGGUCUCUGGGCUGUUACUGACGCUGAGGAGCGAAAGCAUGGGGAGCGAACAGGAUUAGAUACCCUGGUAGUCCAUGCCGUAAACGUUGGGCACUAGGUGUGGGGGACAUUCCACGUUUUCCGCGUCGCAGCUAACGCAUUAAGUGCCCCGCCUGGGGG
RNAcentral lists this ribosomal RNA (863 nucleotides) under uncultured bacterium. Its description in RNAcentral is "bacterial SSU rRNA". It matches the Rfam family "Bacterial small subunit ribosomal RNA", at positions 9 to 873 of the family's 1533-position model. The record is from RNAcentral.